AUUGAACGCUGGCGGCAGGCCUAACACAUGCAAGUCGAGCGGAUGAAGGGAGCUUGCUCCUGGAUUCAGCGGCGGACGGGUGAGUAAUGCCUAGGAAUCUGCCUGGUAGUGGGGGAUAACGUCCGGAAACGGGCGCUAAUACCGCAUACGUCCUGAGGGAGAAAGUGGGGGAUCUUCGGACCUCACGCUAUCAGAUGAGCCUAGGUCGGAUUAGCUAGUUGGUGGGGUAAAGGCCUACCAAGGCGACGAUCCGUAACUGGUCUGAGAGGAUGAUCAGUCACACUGGAACUGAGACACGGUCCAGACUCCUACGGGAGGCAGUAGUGGGGAAUAUUGGACAAUGGGCGAAAGCCUGAUCCAGCCAUGCCGCGUGUGCGAAGAAGGUCUUCGGAUUGUAAAGCACUUUAAGUUGGGAGGAAGGGCAGUAAGUUAAUACCUUGCUGUUUUGACGUUACCAACAGAAUAAGCACCGGCUAACUUCGUG
Molecule: ribosomal RNA, 484 nt
Filed under: uncultured bacterium
Lineage: Bacteria
Description: partial 16S ribosomal RNA
Rfam family: Bacterial small subunit ribosomal RNA
Source: RNAcentral